CCCUGCCAUUUGUACACACCGCCCGUCGCUACUACCGAUUGAAUGGCUAAGUGAGGCUUUCGGACUGGCCUAGGGAGGGUGGCAACACUCACCCAGGGCCGGAAAGUUGUCCAAACUUGGUCAUUUAG
Molecule: ribosomal RNA, 128 nt
Filed under: uncultured eukaryote
Lineage: Eukaryota
Description: partial small subunit ribosomal RNA
Rfam family: Eukaryotic small subunit ribosomal RNA
Source: RNAcentral